This 497-nucleotide ribosomal RNA is filed under the name uncultured bacterium. RNAcentral's name for it is "partial 16S ribosomal RNA". It matches the Rfam family "Bacterial small subunit ribosomal RNA", at positions 28 to 507 of the family's 1533-position model. The record is from RNAcentral.
GAUGAACGCUGGCGGCGUGCCUAAUACAUGCAAGUCGAGCGAACGGACGAGAAGCUUGCUUCUCUGAUGUUAGCGGCGGACGGGUGAGUAACACGUGGAUAACCUACCUAUAAGACUGGGAUAACUUCGGGAAACCGGAGCUAAUACCGGAUGAUAUUUUGAACCGCAUGGUUCAAAAGUGAAAGACGGUCUUGCUGUCACUUAUAGAUGGAUCCGCGCUGCAUUAGCUAGUUGGUAAGGUAACGGCUUACCAAGGCAACGAUGCAUAGCCGACCGGAGAGGGGGAUCGGCCACCCUGGAACUGAGACGCGGUCCAGACUCCUACGGGAGGCAGCAGUAGGGAAUCUUCCGCAAUGGGCGAAAGCCUGACGGAGCAACGCCGCGUGAGUGAUGAAGGUCUUCGGAUCGUAAAACUCUGUUAUUAGUGAAGAACAUAUGUGUAAGUAACUGUGCACAUCUUGACGGUACCUAAUCAGAAAGCCACGGCUAACUACGUG